This 484-nucleotide long non-coding RNA is filed under the name Mus spicilegus (steppe mouse). Its description in RNAcentral is "lncRNA (ENSMSIG00000028299.1)". The record is from RNAcentral. Lineage: Eukaryota; Metazoa; Chordata; Mammalia; Rodentia; Muridae.
AUGAACCUGACGAAACCCAUUGGCUGUAUUCAGUACAAGCUGCCUCUGUAUGAGGGAGAGGACCCUGGUAUGUUCCUCACAUGGUGGAGGCAUGUCAUCUACAUCUAUAUCCUGCCUGGGAAGGAGUCUGCCAUUGCCUACUUCAGGGGCAAAAUGAACUAUCAGUAUUACCAGAUGAUGAUGCUCAUGGGCCGCACCCUGAAAACCAACCUAGAUGCUCUGAGGGCCUUCAAGACGUUUAUGAUGAGUAAAAUGGGGAAAAAAGCCAAGACAAAGACGCCUCCCCACGCUGAAGCCUGUGAAUUGCCCAGAGAUUCCUAACACAGGAGCAGCACCUCAGAGACUGUGUAGCAGCAGGAGUGGGGAUCCUCCAUGCACCUCCAUCUUGGCCAGAACACAGUGUGGAGAAAGGAAAAGGUGGGGCCAAGUGCCCACAUCUCUUCCAAACAGGUCUCUGCCUUAAUAAAUAUGGUCAAUGUCUCCA